Molecule: long non-coding RNA, 750 nt
Filed under: Homo sapiens (human)
Lineage: Eukaryota; Metazoa; Chordata; Mammalia; Primates; Hominidae
Description: HSALNT0087685
Source: RNAcentral
UAGGCUAAAGUCCACGGGCUGUAGAAGCAAACCUUAAAGGGACAUCUGCCUUUCAUUGAGAGGGUGAUCUCGUUCUCCGGGCCAAAUCCCCUAAGGUGGUAGGAAGGCGGAUGAAAACGUCUAGUUGCAGGAAAACAGGCUGAGGGCUCCCACUGAUUCUACAUUAUCCAGGAAAUCGAGGCUGCAGUGAGCCACGAUCACACCAUGCCACGGCACUCCAGCCUGGGCAACAGGAUGAGACCUUGUCUCACACACACACACAAAAAGAAAGGGCUGGAAUCUGAGUAGCUGAGGUGCUUAUGUGACUACAUGCCUACAUCACUGACCCCCAAUAAACACCUUGGACACAAGACUCAGAUAAAGAAACCUCAGAUCAAAUAUAAGCAUCAAAAUCUACAAAGAUUUUAGAGGGUGAAGAAACACGGAAAGAUCUCUGGUGAUGGAGCCAGCAUUGAUGAACCAAGAAAAGUCUUAAACGUGAAGAAGCCUGUGAUAAACAAGGUGACUCACCUCAUCAAAUGGAAUAGGGAUCUUCUGGCAAAGCUGCCUGGGUAAACCGCAACUCACAAGGGAUAGAAUUUCACUAAAUUCUUAAGAGGUUACAGACUCUAUUUCUAUCCUUAAAUACACUCAUUAUUUUAUCCCUGGAUAUACCCAAUUAUAGUUUAAACUUAAAUUGAAUAAAAGAUGAUGGGAGGACUGUGCCCAGGGGAAUAACAAGGAAGAAAAAUGUCAGAAGAAUUAGUUUCU